UGUUUCGGCAAGGGGGUCAUCCCGACUUACCAACCCGAUGCAAACUGCGAAUACCGGAGAAUGUUAUCACGGGAGACACACGGCGGGUGCUAACGUCCGUCGUGAAGAGGGAAACAACCCAGACCGCCAGCUAAGGUCCCAAAGUCAUGGUUAAGUGGGAAACGAUGUGGGAAGGCCCAGACAGCCAGGAUGUUGGCUUAGAAGCAGCCAUCAUUUAAAGAAAGCGUAAUAGCUCACUGGUCGAGUCGGCCUGCGCGGAAGAUGUAACGGGGCUAAA
Molecule: ribosomal RNA, 277 nt
Filed under: Escherichia coli
Lineage: Bacteria; Pseudomonadati; Pseudomonadota; Gammaproteobacteria; Enterobacterales; Enterobacteriaceae
Description: partial 23S ribosomal RNA
Rfam family: Bacterial large subunit ribosomal RNA
Source: RNAcentral